GUCACCACGGACCUGCAUCACCGGUGCACGGACCAGCACACGGGCACCUCGGCCUCAGCCCCACUGGCAGCCGGCAUGAUCGCCCUAGCGCUGGAGGCCAAGUAGGUGACUGUGGGGCCCCGCCCACCGCCCUCGCCCCCAGGCGCGGCCCAGCGGCUCACCCGCCCCCGCCCCCCGCAGCCCGUUCCUGUCGUGGAGAGACAUGCAGCACCUGGUGGUCCGCGCGUCCAAGCCGGCGCACCUGCAGGCAGAAGACUGGAGGACCAACGGCGUGGGGCGCCAAGGUGCGGCGGGGCCGGGCGGGGGCGGGGACCCCGGGCCCACGGGGCGAGUGACUGCUGCCCUUCCGCGCAGUGAGCCAUCACUACGGCUACGGGCUGCUGGACGCCGGGCUGCUGGUGGACACCGCCCGCACCUGGCUGCCCACCCAACCGCAGAGGAAGUGUGCCGUCCGGGUCCAGAACCGCCCCACGUGAGACCCCUGCGUGCCCCUCCGCUAUCACCGCUGGGGGUGUGGGGGACAGGCCUGAGGCCUCAGUUUACCCAUCUGUAAAACGAGGGCUGGACCCCGUGACCUCUGAGCCCCGACCUCGCCUGCUGGCCACCCACCCACCCCCCAGCAGG
This 624-nucleotide small RNA is filed under the name Pongo abelii (Sumatran orangutan). RNAcentral's name for it is "retained intron". Lineage: Eukaryota; Metazoa; Chordata; Mammalia; Primates; Hominidae. The record is from RNAcentral.